RNAcentral lists this ribosomal RNA (395 nucleotides) under Protobothrops jerdonii. RNAcentral describes it as "partial 12S small subunit ribosomal RNA". The record is from RNAcentral. Lineage: Eukaryota; Metazoa; Chordata; Lepidosauria; Squamata; Viperidae.
UACACAAUUNNAUUACCAAUUGUCCGCCAAACAACUACGAGUCCCACUUAAAACUUAAAAGACUUGACGGUACUUCAUCACGACCUAGAGGAGCCUGUCUGAUAACCGACAAUCCACGAUUAACCCCACCCUUUCUCGCCCAACAGUCUAUAUACCGCCGUCGCCAGCUUACCUUGUAAAAGAAAUAAAGUGAGCCAAACAGUACUGCACUAAAACGACAGGUCGAGGUGUAACCCAUGAAAGGGUUAAGAUGGGCUACAUUCUCCCACCGAGAAUACGAAUAGCACUAUGAAACUAGUGCCUGAAGGCGGAUUUAGCAGUAAGAUAGGAAUAAAAAACCUAACUGAACACAACGCAAUGAAGUGCGUACACACCGCCCGUCAUCCCUGCCACAC